RNAcentral lists this long non-coding RNA (254 nucleotides) under Durio zibethinus. RNAcentral describes it as "long non-coding RNA (DZIB_LNC002160)". The record is from RNAcentral. Lineage: Eukaryota; Viridiplantae; Streptophyta; Magnoliopsida; Malvales; Malvaceae.
AGUCAACCCACGAAACGAGCGUGCCGGUGCUCAGCCGACAGAAAAGGCAGAAUGCACAAGCCAGGGAUCGGCUCGAUCCCCCUCUACGUGCUGCCAGUCCCACUGCCACAACCCUCGGUCUGGCUGGGGCUUAGACAUGGAGUGAACUCCCUAUGCCUAAGCCAACCCACGAAACGGGGGUGCAGGCGCUCAGUCGGUCGGAGAGGCAGAAUGCGCAAGCCGGGGAUCGACCCGGUCCCUCCUGCGUGCUGUCG